AACUCAUGUUGAGGACAUUUAUGCAAGAGAUCAUUGAACCUUUCCUAUGUCUCGAAAAGAGAUUCCAAUUCCAUUUGGACAAAGGAAGAUAUCUCAUUCCUGAGCUU
Small nucleolar RNA from Dioscorea cayenensis subsp. rotundata (Guinea yam), 107 nucleotides. The record is from RefSeq and is a predicted model, not a curated record. Lineage: Eukaryota; Viridiplantae; Streptophyta; Magnoliopsida; Dioscoreales; Dioscoreaceae.